AACGAACGCUGGCGGCAUGCCUAACACAUGCAAGUCGAACGAGAUCUUCGGGUCUAGUGGCGCACGGGUGCGUAACGCGUGGGAAUCUGCCCUUUGGUUCGGAAUAACAGUUGGAAACGACUGCUAAUACCGGAUGAUGACGAAAGUCCAAAGAUUUAUCGCCAGAGGAUGAGCCCGCGUAGGAUUAGCUAGUUGGUGUGGUAAAGGCGCACCAAGGCGACGAUCCUUAGCUGGUCUGAGAGGAUGAUCAGCCACACUGGGACUGAGACACGGCCCAGACUCCUACGGGAGGCAGCAGUGGGGAAUAUUGGACAAUGGGCGAAAGCCUGAUCCAGCAAUGCCGCGUGAGUGAUGAAGGCCUUAGGGUUGUAAAGCUCUUUUACCCGGGAUGAUAAUGACAGUACCGGGAGAAUAAGCUCCGGCUAACUCCGUGCCAGCAGCCGCCGCAG
This 449-nucleotide ribosomal RNA is filed under the name uncultured bacterium. RNAcentral describes it as "partial 16S ribosomal RNA". It matches the Rfam family "Bacterial small subunit ribosomal RNA", at positions 29 to 523 of the family's 1533-position model. The record is from RNAcentral.